AUGUACCACUCGUACACUGCGGUUCCUGCGCGCCGUCCGCGCCCCCCUGGCGGCUGC
This is a small RNA of 57 nucleotides. It matches the Rfam family "Xanthomonas sRNA sX9", at positions 1 to 57 of the family's 76-position model.